AUAUUAAUAAGCGGAGGAAAAGAAACUAACAAGGAUUCCCCUAGUAACGGCGAGUGAAGCGGGAAGAGCUCAAAUUUUAAAUCUGAGGGCAUGCGCUCUCCGAGUUGUGAUUUAUAGACACGUUUUCUGUGUUAACGCGAGUAUAAAUCCUUUGGAACAGGGUAUCAUAGAGGGUGAGAAUCCCGUCUUUGACUUGCGAAUUAACACUAUGUGAUACGUGCUCAAAGAGUCGAGUUGUUUGGGAAUGCAGCUCAAACUGGGUGGUAAAUUUCAUCUAAAGCUAAAUAUUAGUGAGAGACCGAUAGCGCACAAGUA
Molecule: ribosomal RNA, 315 nt
Filed under: uncultured Mortierellaceae
Lineage: Eukaryota; Fungi; Mortierellomycota; Mortierellomycetes; Mortierellales; Mortierellaceae
Description: partial large subunit ribosomal RNA
Rfam family: Eukaryotic large subunit ribosomal RNA
Source: RNAcentral